This 497-nucleotide ribosomal RNA is filed under the name uncultured bacterium. Its description in RNAcentral is "partial 16S ribosomal RNA". It matches the Rfam family "Bacterial small subunit ribosomal RNA", at positions 28 to 507 of the family's 1533-position model. The record is from RNAcentral.
GAUGAACGCUGGCGGCGUGCCUAAUACAUGCAAGUCGAGCGAACGGACGAGAAGUUUGCUUCUCUGAUGUUAGCGGCGGACGGGUGAGUAACACGUGGAUAACCUACCUAUAAGACUGGGAUAAGUUCGGGAAACCGGAGUUAAUACCGGGUAAUAUUUUGAACCGGAUGGUUCAAAAGUGAAAGACGGUCUUGCUGUCACUUAUAGAUGGAUCCGCGCUGCAGUAGCUAGUUGGUAAGGUAACGGCUUACCAAGGCAACGAUGCAUAGCCGGCCUCGGAGGGUGACCGGCCACACUGGGACUGAGACACGGUCCAGACUCCGACGGGAGCCAGAAGCAGGGAAGCUUCCGCAAUGGGGGAAAGCCUGACGUAGCAGCGCCGCGUGAGUGAUGAAGGUCUUCGGGUCGUAAAACUCUGUUAUUAGGGAAGAACAUAUGUGUAAGUAGCUGUGCACAUCUUGACGGUACCUAAACAGAAAGCCACGGCUAACUACGUG